CAAUAGCGUAUAUUUAAGUUGCUGCAGUUAAAAAGCUCGUAGUUGGAUUUCGGGUGGGAAUGGCCGGUCCGCCGUUUCGGUGUGCACUUGCUACGCCCACCUUGCUGCCGGGGACGUGCUCUUGAGUUCACGCUCGGGACACGGAGUCGGCGAGGUUACUUUGAGUAAAUUAGAGUGUUCAAAGCAGGCCUACGCUCUGAAUACAUUAGCAUGGAAUAACACGAUAGGACUCCGGCCUAUCUUGUUGGUCUGUAGGACCGGAGUAAUGAUUAAGAGGGACAGUCGGGGGCAUUCGUAUUUCAUUGUCAGAGGUGAAAUUCUUGGAUUUAUGAAAGACGAACUACUGCGAAAGCAUUUGCCAAGGAUGUUUUCAUUAA
RNAcentral lists this ribosomal RNA (377 nucleotides) under uncultured eukaryote. RNAcentral's name for it is "partial 18S ribosomal RNA". It matches the Rfam family "Eukaryotic small subunit ribosomal RNA", at positions 592 to 976 of the family's 1831-position model. The record is from RNAcentral.